RNAcentral lists this ribosomal RNA (446 nucleotides) under Polystira oxytropis. RNAcentral describes it as "partial small subunit ribosomal RNA". The record is from RNAcentral. Lineage: Eukaryota; Metazoa; Mollusca; Gastropoda; Neogastropoda; Turridae.
UCCUGGCUAUAAAUUAAAUUAAAUUUACCAGAGUACUAUGAAUACUAUAAAAUUUAAAACUCAAAGGACUUGGCGGUGUUUUAGACCACUCAGGGGAACCUGUCCCGUAAUCGAUAAUCCACGUUACACCUAACCCACUUUUGCUUUCAGCUUGUAUACCGUUGUCGUCAGGUAACUUUUUAGAAUUCAGAAGUUAGCUAAAAAUAAUAAGUUUAAACGUCAAAUCAAGGUGCAGCUAACAAGGGGGCGAGGAUGGGUUACAAUUAUCUAAUUAUAACUACGAAAAAUCAUAAGAAUAAACGAUUAAGAAGGAGGACUUGAAAGUAAAUUAAAUUAUAGAAAUAACUUGAAUAAGGCUCUGAAAUGCGCACACAUCGCCCGUCGCUCUUGUUGGAAAAUAAGAUAAGUCGUAACAUAGUAGGGGUAAUGGAAAUUGUCCCUAAACU